Molecule: transfer RNA, 69 nt
Filed under: Astrospartus mediterraneus
Lineage: Eukaryota; Metazoa; Echinodermata; Ophiuroidea; Euryalida; Gorgonocephalidae
Description: transfer tRNA-Lys
Source: RNAcentral
ACUUUGUUAACUUAUUACUAAAGUAUGAAACUCUUAAUUUCAAAAAGGAGAAAAAAUCUUCACAAAGUA